GGGGGUAUAGCUCAGCGGUAGAGCAUUUGACUGCAGAUCAAGAGGUCCCCGGUUCAAAUCCGGGUACCCCCU
RNAcentral lists this transfer RNA (72 nucleotides) under Sus scrofa (pig). RNAcentral's name for it is "tRNA-Cys (GCA) (tRNA-Cys-GCA-4-1)". It matches the Rfam family "tRNA". From Rfam's summary of the family: Transfer RNA (tRNA) molecules are approximately 80 nucleotides in length. Their secondary structure includes four short double-helical elements and three loops (D, anti-codon, and T loops). The record is from Rfam by way of RNAcentral. Lineage: Eukaryota; Metazoa; Chordata; Mammalia; Artiodactyla; Suidae.